ACGCUGGCGGCAGGCUUACACAUGCAAGUCGAACGGUAACAGGAGAAAGCUUGCUUUCUACUGACGAGUGGCGGACGGGUGAGUAAUGCUUGGGAAUCUGGCUUAUGGAGGGGGAUAACGACGGGAAGCUGUCGCUAAUACCGCGUAGAGUCGAGAGACGAAAGUGCGGGACCGCAAGGCCGCAUGCCAUAGGAUGAGCCCAAGUGGGAUUAGGUAGUUGGUGGGGUAAAGGCCUACUAAGCCGACGAUCUCUAGCUGGUCUGAGAGGAUGACCAGCCACACCGGGACUGAGACACGGCCCGGACUCCUACGGGAGGCAGCAGUGGGGAAUAUUGCGCAAUGGGGGCAACCCUGACGCAGCCAUGCCGCGUGAAUGAAGAAGGCCUUCGGGUUGUAAAGUUCUUUCGGUAUUGAGGAAGGUUGUUGUGUUAAUAGCACGACAAAUUGACGUUAAAUACAGAAGAAGCACCGGCUAACUCCGUGCCAGCAGCCGCGGUAAUACGGAGGGUGCGAGCGUUAAUCGGAAUAACUGGGCGUAAAGGGCACGCAGGCGGACUUUUAAGUGAGGUGUGAAAUCCCCGGGCUUAACCUGGGAAUUGCAUUUCAGACUGGGAGUCUAGAGUACUUUAGGGAGGGGUAGAAUUCCACGUGUAGCGGUGAAAUGCGUAGAGAUGUGGAGGAAUACCGAAGGCGAAGGCAGCCCCUUGGGAAUGUACUGACGCUCAUGUGCGAAAGCGUGGGGAGCAAACAGGAUUAGAUACCCUGGUAGUCCACGCUGUAAACGCUGUCGAUUUGGGGAUUGGGCCUUGAGCUUGGUGCUCGAAGCUAACGUGAUAAAUCGACCGCCUGGGGAGUACGGCCGCAAGGUUAAACUCAAAUGAAUUGACGGGGGCCCGCACAAGCGGUGG
This 908-nucleotide ribosomal RNA is filed under the name uncultured bacterium. Its description in RNAcentral is "bacterial SSU rRNA". It matches the Rfam family "Bacterial small subunit ribosomal RNA", at positions 33 to 935 of the family's 1533-position model. The record is from RNAcentral.